AAGUGCUAGAUGGGGAGUUAGCGGUGCCCUGUAACCCGGAAUCCGCUCUACCGGGGUCGAAUUCCCACCCGAGGGCUUAGCGGUCGAUUGAUUUCGACGGGUAAGCAGUGUUGAGGGUUGGGUCCUGUACAACAGAAGCCUAUGAACCCCGUCAGGACCGGGAGGUAGCAGCGGUAAGUAGAUACUUGUGUGUGUUGCAGGAGUGCUCGACCGGAGCUGGCUGCUCUGAGGGUCUUUUGGCAGCGGUUCGGAGGUGGGUGCACAA
RNAcentral lists this signal recognition particle RNA (265 nucleotides) under Candidatus Zixiibacteriota bacterium. Its description in RNAcentral is "candidate division Zixibacteria bacterium signal recognition particle sRNA large type". It matches the Rfam family "Bacterial large signal recognition particle RNA". From Rfam's summary of the family: The signal recognition particle (SRP) is a universally conserved ribonucleoprotein involved in the co-translational targeting of proteins to membranes. The record is from RNAcentral. Lineage: Bacteria; Pseudomonadati; Candidatus Zixiibacteriota.